UACGUAGGGGGCAAGCGUUGUCCGGAAUCAUUGGGCGUAAAGCGCGUGUAGGCGGUUCGGUAAGUCUGCUGUGAAAGUCCAGGGCCCAACCCUGGGAUGCCGGUGGAUACUGUCGGGCUAGAGUACGGAAGAGGCGAGUGGAAUUCCCGGUGUAGCGGUGAAAUGCGCAGAUAUCGGGAGGAACACCAAUUGCGAAGGCAGCUCGCUGGGACGUCACUGACGCUGAGACGCGAAAGCGUGGGGAGCAAACAGG
This 253-nucleotide ribosomal RNA is filed under the name uncultured bacterium. RNAcentral describes it as "partial 16S ribosomal RNA". It matches the Rfam family "Bacterial small subunit ribosomal RNA", at positions 524 to 776 of the family's 1533-position model. The record is from RNAcentral.